GAUGAACGCUGGCGGCGUGCCUAAUACAUGCAAGUAGAACGCUGAAGGAGGAGCUUGCUCUUCUGGAUGAGUUGCGAACGGGUGAGUAACGCGUAGGUAACCUGCCUGGUAGCGGGGGAUAACUAUUGGAAACGAUAGCUAAUACCGCAUGACAACAGUUAUUGCAUGAUAACUGUUUAAAAGGGGCAACUGCUCCACUACCAGAUGGACCUGCGUUGUAUUAGCUAGUUGGUGAGGUAACGGCUCACCAAGGCGACGAUACAUAGCCGACCUGAGAGGGUGAUCGGCCAAACUGGGAAUGGGACACGGCCCAGACUCCUACGGGAGGCAGCAGUAGGGAAUCUUCGGCAAUGGACCGAAGUCUGACCGAGCAACGCCGCGUGAGUGAAGAAGGUUUUCGGAUCGUAAAGCUCUGUUGUAAGAGAAGAACGAGUGUGAGAGUGGAAAGUUCACACUGUGACGGUAUCUUACCAGAAAGGGACGGCUAACUACGUG
Molecule: ribosomal RNA, 495 nt
Filed under: uncultured bacterium
Lineage: Bacteria
Description: partial 16S ribosomal RNA
Rfam family: Bacterial small subunit ribosomal RNA
Source: RNAcentral